UACAGAGGUCUCAAGCGUUGUUCGGAUUCAUUGGGCGUAAAGGGUGCGUCGGCGGCGUGGUAAGCCGGGUGUGAAAUCUCGGAGCUUAACUCCGAAACUGCAUUCGAUACUGCCGUGCUUGAGGACUUGAGAGGAGACUGGAAUUUACGGUGUAGCGGUGAAAUGCGUAGAUAUCGUAAGGAAGACCAGUGGCGAAGGCGGGUCUCUGGACAGUUCCUGACGCUGAGGCACGAAGGCCAGGGGAGCAAACGGG
This 253-nucleotide ribosomal RNA is filed under the name uncultured bacterium. Its description in RNAcentral is "partial 16S ribosomal RNA". It matches the Rfam family "Bacterial small subunit ribosomal RNA", at positions 524 to 776 of the family's 1533-position model. The record is from RNAcentral.